AAUACAACGAUGAUGAGGAGUAGUAGAAAGAACUCUGUUUUAGAGAGCGUAUGGCUGGUGAAAAUGCGCACAGAAGCUUUUGAACUCGCCUUGAAGUUGCUCUUUGCUGAAAUGAAGUAGGUGAGGACGGCGGCGGCUGUUAAAACGCUCGAGAUUCGUCUGCUUAAAAGACGAAUGAACUUAGGUGGUACCACGUUGAUCACAACGUCCUAUGG
RNAcentral lists this non-coding RNA (215 nucleotides) under Enterococcus sp. RNAcentral describes it as "T-box sequence". It matches the Rfam family "T-box leader". From Rfam's summary of the family: Uncharged tRNA acts as the effector for transcription antitermination of genes in the T-box leader family. T-boxes are found upstream of many aminoacyl-tRNA synthetase genes and some amino acid biosynthetic genes usually in Gram-positive bacteria. The record is from RNAcentral. Lineage: Bacteria; Bacillati; Bacillota; Bacilli; Lactobacillales; Enterococcaceae.